GGGCCCGCACAAGCGGUGGAGCAUGUGGUUUAAUUCGAUGAUACGCGAGGAACCUUACCAAGGCUUAAAUGUAAAACGACCGACUGAGAGAUCAGUCUUUUUUCGAACGGUUUACAAGGUGCUGCAUGGUUGUCGUCAGCUCGUGCCGUGAGGUGUCGGGUUAAGUCCCAUAACGAGCGCAACCCCUAUUUCUAGUUGCCAGCGAGUAAUGUCGGGAACUCUAGAGAGACUGCCGGUGAUAAACCGGAGGAAGGUGUGGAUGACGUCAAGUCAUCAUGCCCCUUACAUCCUGGGCUACACACGUACUACAAUGCUACGGACAAAGGGCAGCAAGUUCGCGAGGACAAGCAAAUCCCAUAAACCGUGGCUCAGUUCAGAUCGUAGGCUGCAACUCGCCUACGUGAAGGAGGAAUCGCUAGUAAUCGCAGGUC
Molecule: ribosomal RNA, 431 nt
Filed under: uncultured bacterium
Lineage: Bacteria
Description: bacterial SSU rRNA
Rfam family: Bacterial small subunit ribosomal RNA
Source: RNAcentral